This 315-nucleotide ribosomal RNA is filed under the name uncultured eukaryote. Its description in RNAcentral is "partial 18S ribosomal RNA". It matches the Rfam family "Eukaryotic small subunit ribosomal RNA", at positions 1470 to 1796 of the family's 1831-position model. The record is from RNAcentral.
CCCUUAGACGUUCUGGGCCGCACGCGCGCUACACUGACCGGUGCAACAAGCAUCCGUCCUUGGCCGACAGGCCCGGGCAAUCUUUGAACGCCGGUCGUGAUGGGGAUAGACUUUUGCAAUUUUUGGUCUUCAACGAGGAAUUCCUAGUAAACGCAAGUCAUCAACUUGCAUUGAUUACGUCCCUGCCCUUUGUACACACCGCCCGUCGCACCUACCGAUUGAAUGGUCCGGUGAAGCCUCCGGAUUGGCGCGCACCUCGGUGUCGCCGAGAAGUUGGCUAAACCUUACCAUUUAGAGGAAGGUGAAGUCGUAACA